AUGCUUGCUUCGGCAGUAUAUGUUCUAAAAUUGGAUUGAUACAGAGAAGGCAUAAUCUCUGCACAAGGAGAACAUGCAAAUUCAUAAAGUGUUCCAAAUUUUA
Cynocephalus volans (Philippine flying lemur) is the source of this 103-nucleotide small nuclear RNA. The record is from RefSeq and is a predicted model, not a curated record. Lineage: Eukaryota; Metazoa; Chordata; Mammalia; Dermoptera; Cynocephalidae.